GACGAACGCUGGCGGCGUGCUUAACACAUGCAAGUCGAACGGAAAGGCCCUGCUUUUGUGGGGUGCUCGAGUGGCGAACGGGUGAGUAACACGUGAGUAACCUGCCCUUGACUUUGGGAUAACUUCAGGAAACUGGGGCUAAUACCGGAUAGGAGCUCCUGCUGCAUGGUGGGGGUUGGAAAGUUUCGGCGGUUGGGGAUGUACUCGCGGCUUAUCAGCUUGUUGGUGGGGUAGUUGCUUACCAAGGCUUUGACGGGUAGCCGGCCUGAGAGGGUGACCGGACACAUUGGGACUGAGAUACGGCCAAGAGUCAUACGGGAGGGAGAAGUGGGGAAUAUUGCAAAAAGGGCGGAAGCCUGAUGAAGCAACGCCGCGUGCGGGAUGACGGCCUUCGGGUGGUAAACCGCUUUAGCCUGUGACGAAGCGUGAGUGACGGGAAUGGGUAAAGAAGCACCGGCUAACUACGU
This 467-nucleotide ribosomal RNA is filed under the name uncultured bacterium. Its description in RNAcentral is "partial 16S ribosomal RNA". It matches the Rfam family "Bacterial small subunit ribosomal RNA", at positions 28 to 506 of the family's 1533-position model. The record is from RNAcentral.